Molecule: transfer RNA, 35 nt
Filed under: Coursetia greenmanii
Lineage: Eukaryota; Viridiplantae; Streptophyta; Magnoliopsida; Fabales; Fabaceae
Description: partial tRNA-Tyr
Source: RNAcentral
UGGGCCGAGCUGGAUUUGAACCAGCGUAGACAUAU